GGCCUCUGAAGCUCUUCCGUUAGAACAGGGUUUGCAUGAAUCUUGAGAAGCUAAGGGUGGCUACUGGGAUUGGUUUGCCCGCCACUGUCCACUCUUCCGUCUGCCUGGGGAGAGUACGGGAGAGCACAAGCACACUGAGCUACAUUGCCACUGGGUCUUGCAACUAAGUGUUGGACGUGGGCUACAGCCCUGUGCUGCCAGGGUCUGGAACACAAGGAGGCGGGCUAUUUUCUUACUGUUUGGCUGUUCAGCUACAGGCCCCUUCACGUCCCUCUGCUCCCCCGUUGUUGGCUUCCAGGGCAGCAUCCCGGACCCCUGAGCAUCUGUGGUGGACGCAGUGGAGUUCCGGAGGACCUUGGGCUGAGGCUGCACUGCUGUGUCCUGCCUGCCGUGUUCUGGGACCUCCCCAGCACCCAGCCACAAUCAGCCCUCCAGCACCUGGGCUUCUGUCUGACUAUCAAGAAUCUGACGGGAUGGCAGCUGGGACCACGGACACGCAGCUCAGGUCCUCCUUUCCUGAUGCCUUGUUGGUGAAGAUGGUCCAGGCUGUGCGAGGGGGUCUGCUCUCCUCACGGCUUCCUGUGCUGCCGGUUCACUCUCCACCCAUCCACCUUCCACAUGCCGAGCUUUUGUAGCCAAUUCUGAGGAUACGAAGUUUUAUUACAGAAAUGGAAGACAAGUUUUGGUGCUUUGA
This 694-nucleotide long non-coding RNA is filed under the name Ictidomys tridecemlineatus (thirteen-lined ground squirrel). Its description in RNAcentral is "lncRNA (ENSSTOG00000029615.1)". Lineage: Eukaryota; Metazoa; Chordata; Mammalia; Rodentia; Sciuridae. The record is from RNAcentral.